This 253-nucleotide ribosomal RNA is filed under the name uncultured bacterium. RNAcentral describes it as "partial 16S ribosomal RNA". It matches the Rfam family "Bacterial small subunit ribosomal RNA", at positions 524 to 776 of the family's 1533-position model. The record is from RNAcentral.
UACGUAGGGUGCGAGCGUUAAUCGGAAUUACUGGGCGUAAAGCGUGCGCAGGCGGUUCGUUAAGUUCGUUGUGAAAGCCCCGGGCUCAACCUGGGAACGGCAAUGGAAACUGGCGGGCUUGAGUGCGGCAGAGGGGGGUGGAAUUCCGCGUGUAGCAGUGAAAUGCGUAGAGAUGCGGAGGAACACCGAUGGCGAAGGCAGCCCCCUGGGCCGACACUGACGCUCAGGCACGAAAGCGUGGGGAGCAAACAGG